GGACCCGCACAAGCGGCGGAGCAUGCGGCUUAAUUCGAUGCAACCCGAAGAACCUUACCUGGGUUUGACAUCAUGGGUCUAGCUGUGGAAACACAGUGUGCUUACGCGCCCAUGACAGGUGGUGCAUGGCUGUCGUCAGCUCGUGUCGUGAGAUGUUGGUUAAGUCCCGCAACGAGCGCAACCCUUGUCCUAUGUUGCCAGCACGUAAUGGUGGGGACUCAUGGGAGACUGCCGGGGACAACUCGGAGGAAGGCGAGGACGAUGUCAAGUCAUCAUGCCCCUUAUAUCCAGGGCUGCACGCAUGCUACAAUGGGCAAUACAAUGGGCUGCGAUCCCGCGAGGGUCAGCCAA
RNAcentral lists this ribosomal RNA (351 nucleotides) under uncultured bacterium. RNAcentral describes it as "bacterial SSU rRNA". It matches the Rfam family "Bacterial small subunit ribosomal RNA", at positions 917 to 1271 of the family's 1533-position model. The record is from RNAcentral.